RNAcentral lists this long non-coding RNA (4750 nucleotides) under Vitis vinifera (wine grape). RNAcentral describes it as "long non-coding RNA (VVIN_LNC004041)". Lineage: Eukaryota; Viridiplantae; Streptophyta; Magnoliopsida; Vitales; Vitaceae. The record is from RNAcentral.
GAAAAAGUACAAAGAAUAUUUUUUAUAUGUGUAGAAACAGCCAGCAAAUUCCAGAUACAAGGCUCAAUGAGCUAACGAUAUCUUUGAGACAAAUUCAUGGCCCAACCAUCACCAAGAUACAAUGAACCUAGAACCCCUGGUGUUGCUUGCACGAUGUGCAUGGCCCACAAACAGCCUGAAGUUUAAAAGGAAUACAAAGAAGUGUUAUGCCACAAAAACUAGAAUGUAAAGGACUGUUAUAACAUGAAAACUAGAAUACAAAGGACUAUUUUCUAGAUACCCAAAGAACCGAAGAAUUACAUAAAUUAUAAAUGGCCUAGACAAUAGCUCUUUAUAUAGAUGUAGAAAAGGAGCAAAAAGAUACCCUCUCAUGGUUCCAAAGAUGUAUCUCUAAUGAGAGUUACAUCCUUUAAACACAUUCACUUGAUUAGUCAUACCUUGGCAUAACCAUGCCUACUCAUCACAAGUUCUCUCUUGGAAGAGAUAUGACUAUUCAUAAUAAGUCACCUUUUUCAUAAAAGUAGUACUACACAAACUAUAUAAUUAACUUUGUCUAAUCCCUUCUUAUAUUAGCUCUUACUGGUUUUUCCUGUCGAUUCUAGUUUUCUUUGUCAGGGAGGGAUGCAUACCACAAGUCCUGUUUCAAAGAGUUGACUCAUCCCAAAUGUGAAGUUUGCCACCAAUUUGUAAGAAAACAUCACUGUUGGCAUUUUGAACUUUAUUGCUUGUUUUGUUCUCUAUUAAGCCAGUUUGUUAGUGUUUCUAUUAAUUUUGAUUGUCUUUCACUAACAUCAUGCAUCAUUAACAUAUUUAUUUGGGGCAUCAUUCUUGAUGCCUUUCCCCCGAAUUUGGUUUGCUCACUUAAGCAGGGCAUACUAGAAAGUUUUACACUGUUUUUGUUUUCAAUGUUGGUCCUGCUUGAAGUGAAAGAGAUUUAUGAUAGUUCAAUCUAUCUUCAAAGUUCAUUCAUAACUUGGAAAUUCUUUUCAUCACAUCCAGUCAAAAAUCAUUGAAGCUUCUGAAAAUAGCUUGGUAUCAGGAUGAAAAUUUCUUAAAAUUUGAUAUCUUCCACAUUGAUUUUUUUUUUUUUUCAGUCUGUAAGAAUGAUUUAGAUAAAUAUGAAACAUAUUUUCUCCUUUUAAAUAUGUUUGAUCAUAACAUUCUGUUAUGAAUAUAGGGAGUAUGCAAAAGAGCUGCUUAACUCAUUAUAAUGUUAAAUAACAGAACAACUAUCUAGCUGAGUUCAUGUUACUUUGGGUCCUUAGUUUACAGUUCUUAAGAAUUAUUUUGUAAUCUCAUAUUGACAUUUGUAAUUUAAAAAAAUUUCAGAUCCCAACAAAUGGUGCUGGUUUAAUUGAGUACAGGUGCCACCCCUUUUGGUCCCAGAAAUAUUGCCCAUCGCAUGAGCAUGAUAAUGUAGCUCGUUGCUGUAGCUGUGAACGCUUGGAGGUACGAUCUAGACUUGUGAAAGAGGCUUUUAUUUUAAUCAUGUUAUGCACAAAAAUGUUUUUGUAGACAAAGUACCAUAAGUGUGAAAUCAAAUUGUUCUGCUUAGAGUGGUUGUGGUUGUGGUUGAUGUCAUUUUUUCCCCUCCUGAAGUCUUGGAAUGCGAGAUACAUAUCCUUGGGAGAUGGACGGAGUUUAUGCUUAGAGUGCAUGGAAUCAGCUAUAAUGGAUACCGGUGAUUGCCAUUCCCUUUACCAUGCAAUCAGGGAUUUUUUUGAAGGGAUGAACAUGAAACUAGAUCAGGAAAUUCCCAUGCUUCUGGUUGAAAGACAAGCCCUUAAUGAAGCUAUUGUAGGAGAGAAGAAUGUAAACCAUUAUCUCUUGCUCUGUUUUUUAAGCAUUUGAUUUGUGGAAUUACUCUAAUUCAGGACAUGUUCUUCCCAGGGACACCACCACUUGCCAGAGACGAGGGGUUUGUGCCUCUCUGAAGAGCAAACUGUUAAAAGUGUAUGAUAUUUGAAUACUACACAAUUUUCCUUUGCUUAUACUGAAUUCUAAAAUGUCUUAUGACUAUAGUACUAAAUGUUUAUUGCUUGUUCGUGUUUGUUUGUUUGAUUAUCUGUUUAUGCAUUUCUUUUUUUAACAGAUCCAAGUACUUAGAAGGCCCAGACUUGCAGGACAGCGACUAGUAGGAAUGAGAUCACAACCUCAAAAGCUGACUCGAAAAUGUGAAGUUACAGCUAUUCUUGUACUGUAUGGCCUACCAAGGUACUGUCCUAAAAGUUUUGACCAAGUUUUUCCCCUCUCAACUCUUUUAGGGGUGGGGCAUUGCAGUUUCCCUCCUUUUUAUGCCUGUAAUUCCUUUGCUUGUUUAAUUUUCAUAUUUCAUCCCUAAACAGCCAUAUAAUGGCACCCAAAAUAUCAAAGGAGUGGUAACUGAGUACCCACUAAUAUAGGAGGGGACUCUGCAUUCUGACUCUUGGACUAAAGUGCUAAAAAGUAAUAAAGAAAAAUCACGAAAUCCUCCCAUUAAAAGUGAUGUGGUGUGCUAUGGUAGGUGGCUAAGAGCUUUGGUUGUGAAACACUUAAAUCAUAAACAUAUAGAUUUUAAUGCUAGAUGGAUUUCAUUGCUAGAUGUUGAGGAUUCUUCAGGACUAAAAAUUAACUUGAACAAAAGCUAACUAAUUUCUAUAGGGGAAGUCCCUAAUGUGGGGGAGAUAGCAUCAGUGUUGGGUUGUGGAGUAGGAAAACUGCCUGUCACUUACUUGGCCCUGCUCCUCAAUGCUCCCUUCAAGGCUUCAGCUGCUUGGGAUGUGGUGGAGAGGUUCUCAAAGGACUAGCUCUACAAAAAAGGCAAUACCUCUCCAAAGGAAGGAGAUUCACUUUGCUAUAGAUGGUACUCUUAGGAGUUUAGUAAUUUAUUUCAUGUCCCUUUUUGUCAUUCCCAAAUUGGUGGCUCCAAGACUAGAAAAUUCAAAAGGAUAUCCUAUAGAGAGGAGGGGCUCCCGAGAAAAAGCCCCGUCUAAUGAAAUAGUUGUCAAUUUGUCCAUUCUCAAUAAAGCCCUAUUGGGUAAAUGGUGUUGGAGAGGGAUAUGCUUUGGAGAAAGGUCAUAAUGUGAAAGUUUGGAAAAGAGCUAGGAGGUUCGUCCUCUUGGGUAGGGAAGGAAGGCUAAGGUGUAGGCUUGUGGACAUCGAUAAGAAAAGGAUGGGGAGUUUUUAAUGCCAAAAAAAGAUUUGAGGUGGGCCAUUGGGAGAAGAAUAUAAUUUUAGCAUGAUGUGUGGUGUGGUGAUGUUCCCUUAAAAGACUUUUUUCCUUCUCUAUUCUCUUUUGCAACUUCCAAGGAGGUAUGGGUGGAUGAUGUUCGAGCCCGUGUUUCUUAAGACAUUUUCAAGAUUUGAAGAUAGAUAAUGUUGAGGAAUUUCUUCAAAAGCUAUACAUGUUAGGAAGAAGUAGCAGAAAGGAGGAUAAAAUGGUAUGGAAGGCUAGCAAAAGUGGGGAAUUCUUGGUGAAGUCUUUCCAUUCCCCCUUGGAGCUAGAGGGUGGAGUGUCUUUCCCCUGAGAGAUAGUGUGAGGCUCUUGGGCUCCUACCAAAGUGGGUUUUUUUUCGAUUGGGAAGUGGCUUAGGGAAGUAUUCUAACCAUGGACCAACUUAAAAGGACAGGAUGGUUUCAUUGGGUUAUCGUCGCAUGUGCAAAAAUGCAAAAGAAUCAAUAGACCAUCUCCUCAUCCAUUGUGAGAAAGCUAGGGGCUGUGGCACUUUCUAUUCACUUUAUUUGGGAUUUUGUGGGUUCUCUCAUGUUCGAUGAAGGAUUUGUUAAUGGAUUGGAAUGAGAGCUUUGUGGGCAACAAGAGAAGAAAGGGUUGGAGAUCAGCUCCAUUUUGCCUUUUCUAGACAGUUCAAAAGGAAUGCAAUGGAAAAGUGUUUGAAGGGGUGCAAUGAACUAACCAAUCUCUUAGGACUCCCUUAUAUCUUAAUCCAUACAUGUGAUCUUAUGGGUGUCUUCUAGUUGAUGGUCAAGCUGAUCCACUAUCAAGGUUUUAUUUGGUUGUACUCCAAGACUACAUGGGAAUUGUGGUUGUAGGUUGUUUCCUUUUGUUCUCGCAUGUAUACUUCCUAUGUAUUGUGUUUGCCUCUUUCUGAUCAGCACGUUUAAUUUAUAUAUAUAUGGAAAAGGUGAUUAUGUGAUUAUAUAUAUAUAUAUAUAGAAAAGGUGAUUAUGUGAGAUGAUCACAGAAAUUCUGUUAGGAGUUGGAACUACUAAAAUGUCCUAAAGUGCAACAUUUAGAGAAUAUGGAGCUUUUGUCUCUCAUUUUUCAUAUAUAUUUAGCUUUCAUUGAUAGUUCACUCUGUUCUCUCUUCAAUUUGUACAUUCUCCUUGAGGCACCCUAAAUUGAUAAACCUUAAUACUUUCAGGAGAAGAUAAAUGUAUUAUUGACAAUAUUUCUCCGACUAGGCAUUAUUGGGUGUCAAAAAUCAACCUAAAUAACAGUCCUCUCUCUCUCUAAUCCUUUUUCGCUUGUUAAAGAUGUUAUCUUAUCAAAUAGACAAGUAAAACAAUACACAAUCAAAUAAGCCUUGUUGGAUAUCUUGUUAUGCUGAUCAAAUAUAUACAAUGCAAUGCAAUGUAUCUAUCCUCUGUUUGAAGAACCAAUUCUUGUCAGAAGUUUGAAAACUCUUACCAUUAUGAAAUCCCUGCUGGAUGCAGGUUACUGACAGGAGCUAUUCUUGCUCAUGAACUGAUGCAUGGGUGGCUACGCCUUAAAGGUACAACACUGACUCAAUCUUUUCCUCAAGGGCAUCUU